GCGCCCGUAGCUCAGCAGGAUAGAGCAUCGGUUUCCUAAACCGGGGGUCGCAGGUUCAAGUCCUGCCGGGCGCACCA
Molecule: transfer RNA, 77 nt
Filed under: Acidobacteriota bacterium
Lineage: Bacteria; Pseudomonadati; Acidobacteriota
Also listed under: 2 other names
Description: Acidobacteria bacterium (soil metagenome) tRNA-Arg
Rfam family: tRNA
About the family: Transfer RNA (tRNA) molecules are approximately 80 nucleotides in length. Their secondary structure includes four short double-helical elements and three loops (D, anti-codon, and T loops).
Source: RNAcentral